GAAGAGUUUGAUCAUGGCUCAGAUUGAACGCUGGCGGCAGGCUUAACACAUGCAAGUCGAGCGGAAACGAUGGGAGCUUGCUCCCAGGCGUCGAGCGGCGGACGGGUGAGUAACGCGUAGGAAUCUACCCAGUAGCGGGGGAUAGCCCGGGGAAACUCGGAUUAAUACCGCAUACGCCCUAUGGGGGAAAGCAGGGGAUCUUCGGACCUUGCACUAUUGGAUGAGCCUGCGUGAGAUUAGCUUGUUGGUGGGGUAACGGCCUACCAAGGCGAUGAUGGCUAGCGGGUCUGAGAGGAUGAUCCGUCACACUGGGACUGAGACACUGCCCAGACUCCUACGGGAGGCUGCAGUCGAGAAUCUUCCGCAAUGGGGGCAACCCUGACGGAGCGACGCCGCGUGCGGGACGAAGGCCUUCGGGUUGUAAACCGCUGUCGUAGGUUAAGAAAUGUCUUGUCGUGAAAGCGGCUUGACUUGACAAAGGCCUAAAAGGAAGCCACGGCUAACUUCGUGCCAGCAGCCGCGGUAAGACGAAGGUGGCAACCGUUGUUCGGAAUCACUGGGCAUAAAGAGCACGUAGGCGGGUCUUUAAGUCGGGUGUGAAAUCCCUCGGCCCAACCGAGGAACUGCGCCCGAUACUGAAGGCCUUGAGGGCAGGAGGGGAGUGUGGAAUUCCUGGUGGAGCGGUGAAAUGCGUUGAUAUCAGGAGGAACACCGGCGGCGAAGGCGACACUCUGGCCUGCUUCUGACGCUGAGGUGCGAAAGCUAGGGUAGCGAACGGGAUUAGAUACCCCGGUAGUCCUAGCCGUAAACGAUGAGCACUAGGUAGGGGGGAUCCCAAUGCCUCCCUGCUGGAGUUAAUAUUUUAAGUGCUCCGCCUGGGGAGUAUAGUCGCAAGGCUGAAACUCAAAGGAAUUGACGGGGGCUCACACAAGCG
RNAcentral lists this ribosomal RNA (934 nucleotides) under Symbiodinium sp. clade D. RNAcentral describes it as "partial Bacterial small subunit ribosomal RNA". It matches the Rfam family "Bacterial small subunit ribosomal RNA", at positions 1 to 931 of the family's 1533-position model. The record is from RNAcentral. Lineage: Eukaryota; Dinophyceae; Suessiales; Symbiodiniaceae.